GGAGUUUCGUAUAUUAUUACUAUUAUAUACACACAUCGAACGACUAUGUGUUAUAAAUAGAUAGGUAUAUAGUAUAUACCUAUACCUAACCGCUGGUAUAUAUAAUAUAGUUGUGUGGAAAAUACAUACCAUCACGGCGGCGAAGACGACGAUAUAGCCGAUCAUAUAUUGUGUUGGGCAUGUGUACACUAUAUUAUAUACCUACAUAAUACCUGCAGCGAACGUUUCGUAUAAUAUAAGCACAUUAUUACUAUUAUUAUUAUUAUUAUUAUUAUUAUCAUCAUCAUCAUCAUCAUCAUCGUCAUCAUUAUUGUUGUUGUUACGUAUUAUAGUGGAUCCUCGUGGAUUUUCUUCAAUGCAUAUAGCUCUUUAGAAAGAAUUUUUUCUUUUAGUUUUUGAAGAUGACGCGCGUUGUAUACCGGCGCGUGCAGCGUCGGUACACGCGUGUAAUAUUUCGCCCAAGAAGAAUAGUACGUGAACGUAAUAAUAAUAUAAUAGUAAUAAUAAUAAUAAUAAUAAUAACUAAUAAUAAUCAUCAUAAUGGCGUGAGCCGUAAUAAUGAAAUAGCUUAGCGCCUCGAUUGGUCGGCAACGGUGCACAUAGAGUUUGAAUUUUACCCUUUUUUCUUUUUAUAUACAUAAUAUACUCACAUACCUGUGUAUUACACCCAUAUAUUACUAUUUUAAUAUUAUGUGUUUUGUUUGUGUAUAAUAUUAUGAGGCCACGUGUCGAAUCCGUUGUUCUUCGAGUCCGUGUAGGAUAUAAUAUUAUAGUAGGUAUAGUACAUGUAUUGUACACAACCACCGUCUUAUUAAUCCGAUGUUGUCUACUUGCCUAUUAUACGACUAUGAAGACGAUGACGAUGACUACGACGGUAAUAAUGCGACGCGCGCGUAUAACCUCCGUCAAACGAGCCGAAUCAAACACACGUAUACACACACACACACUUUAUGUUUUUUAAUUUAUUUGUUAUUACUUAUUACUUAUUAUUAUUUAUUAUUACUUUUUUUUUUUUGAUUUAUGGACGUCUCCUAGUAUACCUACGCUUUAACGAACCUGUAAAAUACUGUACCAAUAAAAUAAUUAUAAUUAUGAUGGUCGGUAUAGAUUCAAGAUUGGAAUGAUGAUGACGAUGACAAUGCGUUCGUCUCGCCAAUGUCGUCUGCCACAGCAGAAUAUUUUAUUUAAUAAUAACAUAAUAUAAUAGGCAUUGUUAUAAUAAUACUAUCGGGAGCUGAUAGUAUUUUGCACCUGCAGUUUUAGUAGUACCUAAGUACUUGUAAUUUGCACCACAUCUAUAAAUAUUAAUUUUGGUAAUCUGAGCCAAGACGGAAAACGAAAUAGCAUGAUAUUAUGUACAAUCCCCACCACACUUUCAAUUUCAGUUUUUGGAAUUUACCUGAUUAAUUUACUGAGCUCACAUCAGCCAUAGUCCAUAACUGCACGCGUGAAUAAAUAACAUGGACUAAUAAUAGCAUAAGUAAUAUGAACAACUGGAUAAUGAAUAUGCAUAUUUCUGAUUUUUACAUAUUCUUCAAUUAUUACUACCUAACUGAAAUAUUACUAAUUUAUAAUAUAUUAUAUAUUAUAAAGUACCUAUGUACAUACAAAAUUACAAUAAACUUACGUUUUUUAUGUACCUACCUACAUUUUAAUAAUUGUCUUGAAAUGUAUCUGUUAACAUGAACUAGAUUGAUGAAUGAUUUAUAUUAAUAAAUAAAAAAGGAAAAUUAUUAAUAAAUAUUUUAAGGUCGUAUGCAAAUCACAAUUUUGUAAAGUGAUACGAAUGGCUCAAAUUACAAUUAUUUUUGGUACAAGAUUGCGGAGAUUACAUAAGCCUUUUUAUCUAGUUUUGUGUGGCCGCAAAUUUUGAUUGUAGGUAUCGAAAAUAAUUUUAGAUGUGGCGCAAAUUACAUUUUUAUUUCGGUCGUUUUUGGAGCGAUUAAUUACACAGGUACCGCGCGCCUACAUUAUCAACUGUAAUCAAAAAA
Acyrthosiphon pisum (pea aphid) is the source of this 1991-nucleotide long non-coding RNA. RefSeq lists it as uncharacterized. NCBI's taxonomy places the organism in Eukaryota, Metazoa, Arthropoda, Insecta, Hemiptera, Aphididae. The transcript is spliced from 2 exons. The record is from RefSeq and is a predicted model, not a curated record.